Molecule: ribosomal RNA, 430 nt
Filed under: Verrucomicrobiota bacterium
Lineage: Bacteria; Pseudomonadati; Verrucomicrobiota
Description: Verrucomicrobia bacterium partial 16S ribosomal RNA
Rfam family: Bacterial small subunit ribosomal RNA
Source: RNAcentral
UAGGGAAUCUUCCGCAAUGGACGAAAGUCUGACCGAGCAACGCCGCGUGAGUGAAGAAGGUUUUCGGAUCGUAAAGCUCUGUUGUUAAGGAAGAACGAGUGUGAGAAUGGAAAGUUCAUGCUGUGACGGUACCUAACCAGAAAGCCACGGCUAACUACGUGCCAGCAGCCGCGGUAAUACGUAGGUGGCAAGCGUUGUCCGGAAUUAUUGGGCGUAAAGCGCGCGCAGGUGGUUUAGAAAGUCUGAUGUGAAAGCCCACGGCUCAACCGUGGAGGGUCAUUGGAAACUAAUAAACUUGAGUGCAGGAGAGAAAAGUGGAAUUCCUAGUGUAGCGGUGAAAUGCGUAGAGAUUAGGAGGAACACCGGUGGCGAAAGCGGCUUUUUGGCCUGCAACUGACACUGAGGCGCGAAAGCGUGGGGAGCAAACAGG